GAUGAACUCUGGCGGCGUGCCUAAUACAUGCAAGUCGAGCGAACUGACGAGAAGCUUGCUUUUCUGAUGUUAGCGGCGGACGGGUGAGUAACACGUGGAUAACCUACCUAUAAGACUGGGAUAACUUAGGGAAACCGGAUCUAAUACCGGAUAAUAUUUUUAACCGCUUGGUUCAAAAGUGAAAGACGGUCUUGCUGUCACUUAUAGAUGUAUCCGCGCUGCAUUAGCUAGUUGGUAAGUUAACGGCUUACCAAGGCAACGAUGAGUAGCCGAUCUGACGGGGUGAUCGGUUGUAGUGGAACGAAGACAAGGGCGAGCCGCCUACAGGUAGCAGCAGUAGGGCUUCUUCCGUCUAUGGCGCAAAACUCACGAAGAAAAGCUGAGUGAGGGAUCAAGGUCCUAGGAUCGUAAAACUCUGUUAAUAGGGCAACACAUAUGUGUACGUAACGGUGCAACUCUUGACGGUACCUAACCAGAACACAACGGCUAACUACGUG
This 497-nucleotide ribosomal RNA is filed under the name uncultured bacterium. RNAcentral describes it as "partial 16S ribosomal RNA". It matches the Rfam family "Bacterial small subunit ribosomal RNA", at positions 28 to 507 of the family's 1533-position model. The record is from RNAcentral.